RNAcentral lists this ribosomal RNA (352 nucleotides) under uncultured bacterium. RNAcentral describes it as "partial 16S ribosomal RNA". It matches the Rfam family "Bacterial small subunit ribosomal RNA", at positions 338 to 688 of the family's 1533-position model. The record is from RNAcentral.
CCUACGGGGGGCAGCAGUGAGGAAUAUUGGUCAAUGGACGAGAGUCUGAACAGCCAAGUAGCGUGAAGGAUGACUGCCCUAUGGGUUGUAAACUUCUUUUAUAUGGGAAUAAAAUGUUCCACGUGUAGGAUUUUGUAUGUACCAUAUGAAUAAGGAUCGGCUAACUCCGUGCCAGCAGCCGCGGUAAUACGGAGGAUCCGAGCGUUAUCCGGAUUUAUUGGGUUUAAAGGGAGCGUAGGUGGGUUGUUAAGGCAGUUGGGCAAGGUUGCGGCUCAACCGUAAAAUUGGAGUUUAAACUGGCAGUCGUGAGUACAGUAGAGGUUGGCGGAAUUCGGGGUGUAGCGGUGCAAUG